This 69-nucleotide transfer RNA is filed under the name Schistosoma mansoni. Lineage: Eukaryota; Metazoa; Platyhelminthes; Trematoda; Strigeidida; Schistosomatidae. The record is from RNAcentral.
ACUCAGUAGCUUAGUGGAUAAUGCGAUAGCUUUUCAAGCGAAAGACACUGGGUUCGAGUCUCGGAGUGA